This 1253-nucleotide ribosomal RNA is filed under the name uncultured bacterium. RNAcentral's name for it is "bacterial SSU rRNA". It matches the Rfam family "Bacterial small subunit ribosomal RNA", at positions 158 to 1399 of the family's 1533-position model. The record is from RNAcentral.
AGGUGCUAAUACCGCAUAACCAUAGUUACCGCAUGGUAACUAUGUAAAAGGUGGCUAUGCUACCGCUUUUGGAUGGGCCCGCGGCGCAUUAGCUAGUUGGUGAGGUAAAGGCUUACCAAGGCAAUGAUGCGUAGCCGAACUGAGAGGUUGAUCGGCCACAUUGGGACUGAGACACGGCCCAAACUCCUACGGGAGGCAGCAGUAGGGAAUCUUCCACAAUGGGCGAAAGCCUGAUGGAGCAACGCCGCGUGGGUGAAGAAGGUCUUCGGAUCGUAAAACCCUGUUGUUAGAGAAGAAAGUGCGUGAGAGUAACUGUUCACGUUUCGACGGUAUCUAACCAGAAAGCCACGGCUAACUACGUGCCAGCAGCCGCGGUAAUACGUAGGUGGCAAGCGUUAUCCGGAUUUAUUGGGCGUAAAGGGAGCGCAGGCGGUCUUUUAAGUCUGAUGUGAAAGCCUUCGGCUUAACCGGAGUAGUGCAUUGGAAACUGGGAGACUUGAGUGCAGAAGAGGAGAGUGGAACUCCAUGUGUAGCGGUGAAAUGCGUAGAUAUAUGGAGGAACACCAGUGGCGAAAGCGGCUCUCUGGUCUGUAACUGACGCUGAGGUUCGAAAGCGUGGGUAGCAAACAGGAUUAGAUACCCUGGUAGUCCACGCCGUAAACGAUGAAUGCUAAGUGUUGGAGGGUUUCCGCCCUUCAGUGCUGCAGCUAACGCAAUAAGCAUUCCGCCUGGGGAGUACGACCGCAAGGUUGAAACUCAAAGGAAUUGACGGGGGCCCGCACAAGCGGUGGAGCAUGUGGUUUAAUUCGAAGCAACGCGAAGAACCUUACCAGGUCUUGACAUCUUCUGACAAUCCUAGAGAUAGGACUUUCCCUUCGGGGACAGAAUGACAGGUGGUGCAUGGUUGUCGUCAGCUCGUGUCGUGAGAUGUUGGGUUAAGUCCCGCAACGAGCGCAACCCUUAUUGUUAGUUGCCAGCAUUAAGUUGGGCACUCUAGCAAGACUGCCGGUGACAAACCGGAGGAAGGUGGGGAUGACGUCAAAUCAUCAUGCCCCUUAUGACCUGGGCUACACACGUGCUACAAUGGACGGUACAACGAGUCGCAAGACCGCGAGGUUUAGCAAAUCUCUUAAAGCCGUUCUCAGUUCGGAUUGUAGGCUGCAACUCGCCUACAUGAAGUCGGAAUCGCUAGUAAUCGCGGAUCAGCAUGCCGCGGUGAAUACGAACGCGGGCCUUGCACGCACCGCCCGUCA